UAAUACGUAGGGUGCAAGCGUUGUCCGGAAUUAUUGGGCGUAAAGAGCUCGUAGGCGGUUCGUCGCGUCGGCUGUGAAAACCCGGAGCUUAACUCCGGGCCUGCAGUCGAUACGGGCGGACUUGAGUUCGGCAGGGGAGACUGGAAUUCCUGGUGUAGCGGUGAAAUGCGCAGAUAUCAGGAGGAACACCGGUGGCGAAGGCGGGUCUCUGGGCCGAUACUGACGCUGAGGAGCGAAAGCGUGGGGAGCGAACAGG
RNAcentral lists this ribosomal RNA (256 nucleotides) under uncultured archaeon. RNAcentral describes it as "partial 16S ribosomal RNA". It matches the Rfam family "Bacterial small subunit ribosomal RNA", at positions 521 to 776 of the family's 1533-position model. The record is from RNAcentral.